RNAcentral lists this transfer RNA (71 nucleotides) under Marmota monax (woodchuck). RNAcentral's name for it is "tRNA.Ala". It matches the Rfam family "tRNA". Rfam says of the family: Transfer RNA (tRNA) molecules are approximately 80 nucleotides in length. Their secondary structure includes four short double-helical elements and three loops (D, anti-codon, and T loops). The record is from RNAcentral. Lineage: Eukaryota; Metazoa; Chordata; Mammalia; Rodentia; Sciuridae.
GGGGUUGUGGCUCAGCGGUAGAGCACUCACCUAGCAUGUGUGAGGCCCUGGGUUCGAUCCUCAGCACCACG